This 484-nucleotide ribosomal RNA is filed under the name uncultured bacterium. Its description in RNAcentral is "partial 16S ribosomal RNA". It matches the Rfam family "Bacterial small subunit ribosomal RNA", at positions 30 to 507 of the family's 1533-position model. The record is from RNAcentral.
AUUGAACGCUGGCGGCAGGCCUAACACAUGCAAGUCGAGCGGAUGAAGGGAGCUUGCUCCUUGAUUCAGCGGCGGACGGGUGAGUAAUGCCUAGGAAUCUGCCUGGUAGUGGGGGAUAACGUCCGGAAACGGGCGCUAAUACCGCAUACGUCCUGAGGGAGAAAGUGGGGGAUCUUCGGACCUCACGCUAUCAGAUGAGCCUAGGUCGGAUUAACUAGUUGGUGGGGUAAAGGCCUACCAAGGCGACGAUCCGUAACUGGUCUGAGAGGAUGAUCAGUCACACUGGAACUGAGACACGGUCCAGACUCCUACGGGAGGCAGCAGUGGGGAAUAUUGGACGAUGGGCGGAAGCCUGAUCCAGCCAUGCCGCGUGUGUGAAGAAGGUCUUCGGAUUGUAAAGCACUUUAAGUUGGGAGGAAGGGCAGUAAGUUAAUACCUUGCUGUUUUGACGGUACCAACAGAAUAAGCACCGGCUAACUUCGUG